GAAUAAAUACUAAUUUGUAGAUUCAAGGAUUCAAAUUGCAUUUAGUGAAAAUAAUCUUAAUUUUAUUUUAAUAAGUAUUUAAUAAAGAAAGUUUUGUAUAAGUGAUAGUAGAUAAGUACUGUAAAGGAAAGUUGAAAUAUGUUGAAAAGUUAAUUCUGUAAAAGUAUAUUUUAAAUGUAGUACCUUGUGUUUCAGGGAACUUAAAAUUUUAUCUUGGAAAGUAAGCUUUCCCGAAGUUUGGUGAGCUAAUUCAUUGUAAAUAGUUAACGUGGUAUAGUUAUUAUAAACAAUUUAUUAGAAGUGAAAUUCUAUACGCACCAAUAGGUAUCUGGUUUUUUAGUAAAUAAAUUUAAUUUAGCUUUUAGUAAUAAUUUGAACUAAAUAGUAAAAACAGGAGGGAAAAGCUUCUUGUUUAAUAAUAAACUUUUUAUGAGUAAUUUAAUGUAGUUUAUUUAAUUAGGCUUAAAAUCAGUCAAUUUUUAAUAUCGUUAUAGAUUAUAUAAGAAAUCAUUAAUAUUUAAAAUUACUUUAAUUGUCUACUAAAAAACUUAGUUGAGUAAGUUAUUUAUGGAUAUAAUUAAGUUAUUAGUAAAAUAAUUUGUAAUUAAGAAAUUACUAGGUUUAAUUUGAGUUAUAUCAAACUUUGAAUUGUGCUAAGGAACUCGGCAAUAAUCCUUUCUGCCUGUUUAUCAAAAACAUGUCCAUGUGAAAUGGUUUAUAUGGUCUGGCCUGCCCACUGAUCUAAAAAUUAAAGGGCCGCGGUAUUUUGACCGUGCGAAGGUAGCAUAAUAAUUAGUCUCCUAAUUAGAGGCUUGUAUGAAUGGUCGGACAAGAUGGGAACUGUCUCAGUGCAAAAGAUGGAAAUUGAUAUUUAAGUAAAAAAGCUUAAAUAACAUGGAGGGACGAUAAGACCCUAUAAAGCUUUAUAAUGUAUUUCUGUUAUAUAAAUUAUUAAUUGUUAACUUAUUAAAGGAAUAAUAUUAUUUUACUGGGGCGGUAAAAGUAUAUGUUUAGAAUAACUGCUUUUGUUGUGUUAAACAAUAAUAAUUGAAUAAUAUAUUGAUCCACUAUUAGUGAGCAUAAGGACAAGUUACUUUAGGGAUAACAGCGUAAUUUUUCUUGAGAGUUCUUAUCGAAAGAAAAGUUUGCGACCUCGAUGUUGAAUUAAGGAAGCCUUAAGGUGUAGCAGUUUUAAAGGCAGAUCUGUUCGAUCUUUAAAUCCUUACAUGAUUUGAGUUCAGACCGGCGUAAGCCAGGUUGGUUUCUAUCUUCCAUAUAUUAAGUCAAUUUACUUUAGUACGAAAGGAUUUGGUAAAUCAAAUAUUUUGUUUUGUCUUGAAAGUUAUUAAG
This 1350-nucleotide ribosomal RNA is filed under the name Gonodactylus sp. SIO BIC C12730. RNAcentral's name for it is "16S ribosomal RNA". The stretch from base 633 to 1350 matches the Rfam family "Archaeal large subunit ribosomal RNA", at positions 1423 to 2810 of the family's 2987-position model. Lineage: Eukaryota; Metazoa; Arthropoda; Malacostraca; Stomatopoda; Gonodactylidae. The record is from RNAcentral.